This 77-nucleotide transfer RNA is filed under the name Idiomarina loihiensis. RNAcentral describes it as "tRNA-Arg". It matches the Rfam family "tRNA". Rfam says of the family: Transfer RNA (tRNA) molecules are approximately 80 nucleotides in length. Lineage: Bacteria; Pseudomonadati; Pseudomonadota; Gammaproteobacteria; Alteromonadales; Idiomarinaceae. RNAcentral also lists the same sequence under 10 other names. The record is from RNAcentral.
GCGCCCGUAGCUCAGCUGGAUAGAGCGCCGCCCUCCGGAGGCGGAGGUCAGAGGUUCGAAUCCUCUCGGGCGCGCCA